AUGCUGGGAGUGGGAGGGGCCGAGGGUGGGAGAGAGGAUGCUGGGAGUGGGAGGGGUCAGGGAGUGGGAGAGAGGAUGCUGGGAGUGGGAGGGGCCGGGAGUGGGAGAGAGGAUGCUGGGAGUGGGAGGGGCCGGGGGGUGGGAGAGAGGAUGCUGGGAGUGGGAGGGGCCGGGGGUGGGAGAGAGGAUGCUGGGAGUGGGAGAGAGGAUGCUGGGAGUGGGAGAGGAUGCUGGGAGUGGGAGAGGAUGCUGGGAGUGGGAGGGCCUGGGAGUGGGAGAGAGGAUGCUGGGAGUGGGAGGGGCUGGAAGUGGGAGAGAGGAUGCUGGGAGUGGGAGGGGCCAGGGGGUGGGAGGGAGCAAGGAGAGGGAGAAGAGGGGUUCUGGGUGGGAAGGAUUGGGGAGCAGGAGGAGGGGAAUCCUGCAGCUGGAGGGGCCACAGCUGUGCGCAAGGAAAACGGGGGCGGAAAUGAAAUGUUAGGGCCGGUGGACACUGGCCUUUCAGCAUCUCCCAAAGAUGAGAAGGGCCCUCCGUCUCUGAUUAUGACUGCUUCUGUGACAUGUAAGGCACAAAAAUUAUCCUGUGAGGUCGGACACCAGAGAAACCCACGGGCACUGGGCUGUCUGGAGGAUAUUUUAAGGUUUCUGAAUGAAAAAUAA
Molecule: long non-coding RNA, 657 nt
Filed under: Papio anubis (olive baboon)
Lineage: Eukaryota; Metazoa; Chordata; Mammalia; Primates; Cercopithecidae
Description: lncRNA (ENSPANG00000039004.1)
Source: RNAcentral